UGCACACUCGUGGCCAAUAUGGCAACAGUAUCCUGGUUACUGAACCGUGUACUAGGUGGGGUGUAAACCUUUGGCCUGCCAAACGAGUAAGAUCACCUGGAGUACGGCCCGCAGGUUGAGACUCCAAGGAAUGACGGGGCCCGCACCAAGCAGUGGAGAUUGGUUAAUUCGAAGCAACGCGAGACCUUACCCAGGGCUGACAUAUACAGGAAUAAAUAAGAGAUAUUAGCUCUUCGGAGUCUGUAUACAGGUGUGCAUGGUUGUCGUCAGCUCGUGUCGUGAGAUGUUAGGUUAAGUCUGCAACGAGCGCAAACCCCUAUACUUAGUGCCAGCAUGUAAAGAUGGGAACUCUGAGUAGACUGCCGGUGAUAAAUCGGAGGAAGGUGGGGACGACGUCAAAUCAUCAUGCCCUUUAUGUCCUGGGCUACACACGUACUACAAUGGCUAUCGCGGAGGGAAGCAAAAUAGUGAUGGGGAGCAAAACCCAAAAAAGUAGUAUCAGUUCGGAUUGAAGUCUGAGAUUCGCCUUCAUGAAGCCGGAAUUGCUAGUAAUGGCAGGUCAGCAUACUGCCGUGAAUACGUUCCCGGGCCUUGUACACACCGCCCGUCACACCAUGAGAGUUGGGGAUACCCGAAGCCCGUGAGCCAACUGUAAAGAGGCAGCGGUCGAAGGUAGAAUCAAAGAUGGGGGAAGUUGUAACAAGGUAUCUGUUCUAGGGGGCGGAUCACCUCCUUUAAC
Molecule: ribosomal RNA, 739 nt
Filed under: uncultured bacterium
Lineage: Bacteria
Description: bacterial SSU rRNA
Rfam family: Bacterial small subunit ribosomal RNA
Source: RNAcentral